This 253-nucleotide ribosomal RNA is filed under the name uncultured bacterium. RNAcentral's name for it is "partial 16S ribosomal RNA". It matches the Rfam family "Bacterial small subunit ribosomal RNA", at positions 524 to 776 of the family's 1533-position model. The record is from RNAcentral.
UACGAAGGACCCGAGCGUUAUCCGGAUUUAUUGGGUUUAAAGGGUGCGUAGGCGGAUUUAUAAGUCAGUGGUGAAAGCCUAUAGCUUAACUAUAGAAUUGCCAUUGAUACUGUAAGUCUUGAGUACAGUUGAGGUGGGCGGAAUGUGCAGUGUAGCGGUGAAAUGCUUAGAUAUUGCACAGAACACCAAUUGCGAAGGCAGCUCGCUAAGCUGUAACUGACGCUGAGGCACGAAAGUGUGGGUAGCAAACAGG